AAGCAAUAGCCCAGAGUCGAGCUCAGUUGGACGGCACAGCUUGAUUAAAUGAGCCGAGAGCACCGUUAUUGGCUGGGAGACAAGAGUUCAGCCGAGCUCGAUGGAGGUUUACACCGGUCUGUGAGGAAAACAAUUGAGUGCAACAAGAAGUCUUUCAAAUAGAACAAUAUCUCCACCAAGUGUCCAGCAACACUUCUACUAUGACCGCCCGUCUGGUCUGCGUGUGGCGCACGGAGAAACAGAUGGCACGGGCGAGGAUGGCCGCCAGACGGAAGGAGGGAAAGUGAGAGUGGCAGAAAAUGGCAAGCUGCUUCCCCCUUGUUCCAUUUGACCUGAGGGACAAUCGGCUGAGAACAACACCCGUAGCCUGUUGAUGACACGGAGGUUAACAUCUCGGCAGAGGUACAGUGAAUCACAGCGAUGUCAUCCAUCUUAAGUUAGGACUCUGUUUUUCUUGUACAAACUGUUUUCUGUGGAUAGGUAAGUGACUCAUUCGCAUUUUGACUAAAUUGCUAUUACACCUAAUGAUUAUAAAAAAACAAUACUGGAUUGCACUCUUGGAUAAUUUUCAGCAAUCAUAUUAAAAGGCAUUUUAUUACAAUUAAAAAUAACAAAGUCACUUAUUGCAAAAGAGCUUAAAGACUCCCUUCAGGAUUUCAUAAAAUGCAUGAGCUUUUUCAAAAUACAGUAAAAAAAAUACUCCGUCAUGAUU
Syngnathus typhle (broad-nosed pipefish) is the source of this 712-nucleotide long non-coding RNA. RefSeq lists it as uncharacterized. The transcript is spliced from 4 exons. NCBI's taxonomy places the organism in Eukaryota, Metazoa, Chordata, Actinopteri, Syngnathiformes, Syngnathidae. The record is from RefSeq and is a predicted model, not a curated record.